Non-coding RNA from Macaca mulatta (Rhesus monkey), 323 nucleotides. NCBI's taxonomy places the organism in Eukaryota, Metazoa, Chordata, Mammalia, Primates, Cercopithecidae. The record is from RefSeq and is a predicted model, not a curated record.
ACUGCGUUCCAGUGCUCGGACCUGCUCCUUCCAAGAAGACAGGACGCCAGGAUGGCCGGGACUCCGCUCCCUGGGACACCAUAAUUUUUGUGAGCAGCAGACCUGAAGUGGUACAAGCCAUCGUGAAGGUACAGAGACAACAGAGGUAACUGAAAUACAAUCCUUGUUCUUGAGGGGCCAAUCUAGUGGGGAAAUACAUUUGUAAGGAGAGAUACUCCAAUGAAAUACGAUGCCUUCAGAGGAGAAUGCACAACCUGCCAUGAGAAACCAGAGGAGCAAGCAGCUGAUAUUCUAAUAAAAUUAAAGCUGGAGACAUUUUAAAA